AGUGAACGCUGGCGGUAGGCCUAACACAUGCAAGUCGAACGGCAGCACAGUAAGAGCUUGCUCUUACGGGUGGCGAGUGGCGGACGGGUGAGGAAUACAUCGGAAUCUACUUUUUCGUGGGGGAUAACGUAGGGAAACUUACGCUAAUACCGCAUACGACCUACGGGUGAAAGCAGGGGAUCUUCGGACCUUGCGCGAUUGAAUGAGCCGAUGUCGGAUUAGCUAGUUGGCGGGGUAAAGGCCCACCAAGGCGACGAUCCGUAGCUGGUCUGAGAGGAUGAUCAGCCACAAUGGAACUGAGAAACGGUCCAGACUCCUACGGGAGGCAGCAGUGGGGAAUAUUGGACAAUGGGCGCAAGCCUGAUCCAGCCAUACCGCGUGGGUGAAGAAGGCCUUCGGGUUGUAAAGCCCUUUUGUUGGGAAAGAAAAGCAGCAGGUUAAUACCCCGCUGUUCUGACGGUACCCAAAGAAUAAGCACCGGCUAACUUCGU
RNAcentral lists this ribosomal RNA (491 nucleotides) under uncultured bacterium. Its description in RNAcentral is "partial 16S ribosomal RNA". It matches the Rfam family "Bacterial small subunit ribosomal RNA", at positions 29 to 506 of the family's 1533-position model. The record is from RNAcentral.